This 253-nucleotide ribosomal RNA is filed under the name uncultured bacterium. RNAcentral's name for it is "partial 16S ribosomal RNA". It matches the Rfam family "Bacterial small subunit ribosomal RNA", at positions 524 to 776 of the family's 1533-position model. The record is from RNAcentral.
UACGUAGGGUGCGAGCGUUAAUCGGAAUUACUGGGCGUAAAGCGUGCGCAGGCGGCUUUGCAAGACAGAUGUGAAAUCCCCGGGCUCAACCUGGGAACUGCAUUUGUGACUGCAAGGCUAGAGUACGGCAGAGGGAGAUGGAAUUCCGCGUGUAGCAGUGAAAUGCGUAGAUAUGCGGAGGAACACCAAUGGCGAAGGCAAUCCCCUGGGCCUGUACUGACGCUCAUGCACGAAAGCGUGGGGAGCAAACAGG